This is a long non-coding RNA of Eurytemora carolleeae, 1651 nucleotides long. RefSeq lists it as uncharacterized. The transcript is spliced from 3 exons. The record is from RefSeq and is a predicted model, not a curated record. Lineage: Eukaryota; Metazoa; Arthropoda; Copepoda; Calanoida; Temoridae.
AAAAAUAUUUUUUAGAAAAUUAGGACUUGAGAAGAGAUUAUUGGGUUUGUAAGCGUAAAUUAAACUUACUCUCAAACUCGAUGCAAAGAUGGUAAUUCUCGAUUCACAACAGUACCCUUGGAAUAUAUAUUUUAUCAAGUUUUCUAGUUUUAAUAAUAUUUUAUUCUAAUUGUUUCUACAUAUGUAUUGUCCUGCAGUUGAAAUGCGCUAGCCGUAGUACAUUUCAAUUUCCGAGCCGGGUCAACUGUAUCGGCCAGACAUUGGGUUAAUAAAGCAGACACUCAAUAGGACUAGCCGGUGCAACAAUGUUGACGCGGUCAGACUUUAGGUUGAAUUUACUUUUACUAAAGGGUCAGAGGAGAGGAGCGUGGAAACGAAACAACUACAUUAUAAUAUCUUAAUACUUGAUCAGAUAAAGCUUUAAAGGGAACUGUUGUGAAUCGGGCAUUGUCAUCUUUGCAUGGAGGGUAACUAAAAAAUUUACGUAUAGAACCUUUAAGAUAUAUUUCCAAAUGAAGUUUUCAUUACUUUGUUCUGUCCAGCUUUUUCUUAUUGUCUGUGUACAAUCAGCUUCAAUAGGUAAAGGUUUAGGUGAACCAGCAUUUGGAACCAAGAUUAAGCUUAUCAUGCAGAAACGAAGGCCGGAAAUGGAUGUUAACGGUUUCUAUGGGGAUACAUUCUCUGGAGGUUUCGGUGAUUUCUACACUGCAAGGAAACGAUCUCUUUUAGACAAAGAUAUUGGGAUUGCUGUUCCAAGGGACAUUAAGCUUUACUAUGCAGCUGAGAAAGUCAAGGUAACCUUCUUAUACAGGGUGUUCUAAUAAACAUGAGACGGAUCAAAAAUCGUCUUUGAUUUCAAUUUAUUGAUAAAGGAUAAAGAUCGUUUUGUUAGUUUAAUAAAAAAUGAAAUCUGGAAAUGAUCCUCAAUAUCUCCGUUAAAUUGAAAAUGAUAGACAAUAUUAUGAAUAUCCCGAGGCAAGUAGUUUUCGGUUUAAAGGGACCGUUCUCGUAUUUGGGUAAUUCUGAACGAAUAAUCGGCUUUUUCUCCGGCCACAGUUGUCUUUGAAAAGUAAGACUAUUAACAAUCAAGAGCGAAUAGGCUGUUUAGUUUACCCUGAAAUUACCGAAAUAAGUGAACGGUCCAUUUAAAUGUAUUAACUGGGAUACUAUUAAAAUUAUGUUAACGUAAUCAUGCUGCGUGUAACAAUGACGAUUAAGAAGUCAUCAUUGGAUUCCCAUGAAAAUUAAUUCACCCUGUCUACUGCCAACAAUUUGUGUUGAUUGAAUAAGAAGUACGUCAGAUUAAGUUUUGAUAAAAGAUAAACACAAUCAUUUCUUUUAUUCAACAAAUGUUGACGAAUGAUACAAUUUAUCUUUUGACGAAAAUGUUGCUAAGCUGAAUUUGGCUCCAGUGCUCCGACAAAUUUUGUAAGAUAAAAAUUUGACAUUUCUUAGAGUGAAACUUAAUUUAUGCCCGGGUAACUUGGCGUUAAUAGCGUGAUAUAAUAUCCGUAAAUUUGUUAUGCUUAAUUAACCCAACCUGUGCCAUCAAAAUACUAAGAACCUCUAAUGAAAGGUUUUUUGUUUCAAGGGGUUGUACACGAAAGGAAUUGAGUCUUUUUCACAAAAUCUGAUUUUCUAAUCACUAUAU